This 355-nucleotide ribosomal RNA is filed under the name uncultured bacterium. RNAcentral's name for it is "bacterial SSU rRNA". It matches the Rfam family "Bacterial small subunit ribosomal RNA", at positions 917 to 1271 of the family's 1533-position model. The record is from RNAcentral.
GGACCCGCACAAGCAGUGGAGCAUGUGGUUUAAUUCGACGCAACGCGAAGAACCUUACCAGCGUUUGACAUGAGAAGUGCCGGUUACAGAAUGGUAACCUUCAGUUCGGCUGGCUUCUACACAGGUGCUGCAUGGCUGUCGUCAGCUCGUGUCGUGAGAUGUUGGUUAAGUCCCGCAACGAGCGCAACCCUUAUCGUUAGUUACUAACAGUUCGGCUGAGGACUCUAGCGAAACUGCCGGUGAUAAGCCGGAGGAAGGUGGGGAUGACGUCAAGUCCUCAUGGCCCUUACACGCUGGGCUACACACGUGCUACAAUGGCCGGUACAAACGGUUGCGAACCCGCGAGGGAAGCUAA